UGGGGAAUCUUGGACAAUGGGCGCAAGCCUGAUCCAGCCAUGCCGCGUGAGUGAAGAAGGCCUUCGGAUUGUAAAGCUCUUUUGGCGGGGACGAUAAUGACGGUACCCGCAGAAUAAGCCCCGGCUAACUUCGUGCCAGCAGCCGCGGUAAUACGAAGGGGGCUAGCGUUGUUCGGAAUCACUGGGCGUAAAGCGCACGUAGGCGGACUUAUAAGUCAGGUGUGAAAUCCCCGGGCUUAACCUGGGAAUUGCGCUUGUAACUGGCAGGCUAGAGUGUGGCAGAGGGGGUGGAAUUCCACGUGUAGCAGUGAAAUGCGUAGAUAUGUGGAGGAACACCGAUGGCGAAGGCAGCCCCCUGGGUUAACACUGACGCUCAUGCACGAAAGCGUGGGGAGCAAACAGGAUUAGAUACCCUAGUAGUCCCUGAGCGGGCUGGCAAGGCGCAU
Molecule: ribosomal RNA, 446 nt
Filed under: uncultured bacterium
Lineage: Bacteria
Description: bacterial SSU rRNA
Rfam family: Bacterial small subunit ribosomal RNA
Source: RNAcentral